This 21-nucleotide non-coding RNA is filed under the name Arabidopsis thaliana (thale cress). The record is from RNAcentral. Lineage: Eukaryota; Viridiplantae; Streptophyta; Magnoliopsida; Brassicales; Brassicaceae.
GGAGGUGCGAAUGUGCUCCGG